CCUACGGGGGGCUGCAGUGGGGAAUAUUGGACAAUGGGGGCAACCCUGAUCCAGCCAUGCCGCGUGUGUGAAGAAGGCCCUCGGGUUGUAAAGCACUUUCAGUGGGGAAGAACGCCUGGUGGUUAAUACCCAUCAGGAAAGACAUCACUCACAGAAGAAGCACCGGCUAACUCCGUGCCAGCAGCCGCGGUAAUACGGAGGGUGCGAGCGUUAAUCGGAAUUACUGGGCGUAAAGCGCGCGUAGGUGGCUUGAUAAGCCGGUUGUGAAAGCCCCGGGCUCAACCUGGGAACGGCAUCCGGAACUGUCAAGCUAGAGUGCAGGAGAGGAAGGUAGAAUUCCCGGUGUAGCGGUGAAAUGCGUAGAGAUCGGGAGGAAUACCAGUGGCGAAGGCGGCCUUCUGGACUGACACUGACACUGAGGUGCGAAAGCGUGGGUAGCAAACAGGAUUAGAUACCCGAGUAGUC
RNAcentral lists this ribosomal RNA (465 nucleotides) under Vreelandella stevensii. Its description in RNAcentral is "partial 16S ribosomal RNA". It matches the Rfam family "Bacterial small subunit ribosomal RNA", at positions 338 to 795 of the family's 1533-position model. The record is from RNAcentral. Lineage: Bacteria; Pseudomonadati; Pseudomonadota; Gammaproteobacteria; Oceanospirillales; Halomonadaceae.